Molecule: ribosomal RNA, 244 nt
Filed under: uncultured Actinomycetales bacterium
Lineage: Bacteria; Bacillati; Actinomycetota; Actinomycetes; Actinomycetales
Description: partial 16S ribosomal RNA
Rfam family: Bacterial small subunit ribosomal RNA
Source: RNAcentral
UACUCGAGUGGCGAACGGGUGAGUAACACGUGGGUAAUCUGCCCUGCACUCUGGGAUAAGCCUGGGAAACUGGGUCUAAUACUGGAUAUGACCUUUCUCCUUAUGGGGUUUGGUGGAAAGUUUUUCGGUGUAGGAUGAGCCCGCGGCCUAUCAGCUUGUUGGUGGGGUGAUGGCCUACCAAGGCGACGACGGGUAGCCGGCCUGAGAGGGUGAUCGGCCACAUUGGGACUGAGAUACGGCCCAG